This 1188-nucleotide long non-coding RNA is filed under the name Lynx canadensis (Canada lynx). RNAcentral's name for it is "lncRNA (ENSLCNG00005018513.1)". Lineage: Eukaryota; Metazoa; Chordata; Mammalia; Carnivora; Felidae. The record is from RNAcentral.
AUGCACCCACGUACACACGUGCACACACACACACACACACACAAGUACACACAGCCUCCCCCACAUGCACAUGCCCAUGAAUGCACCCAUAUACACACGUGCACACACACACGCACACAAGUACACACAGACACCCCCCCCACACACAUACACACAGACACACACAUGCACCCACUUACACAGGGACACGCACACAUGCACACACGUACAUGCCCACGAAUGCACCCACGUGCACACACACACACACACACACAAGUACACACAGCCCCAUACCCCUCCACACAUACACACAGACACACACACAUGCACCCACUUACACAGGGACACAAACACAUGCACACACAUACAUGUCCACGAAUGCACCCACGUACACACGUGCACACACACAUGCACACAAGUACACACAGCCCCAGCCCCCCACAUGCACAUGCCCUCGAAUGCACCCACGUGCACACAUACACACACACACAAGUACACACAGCCCCACACCCCUUCACACAUACACACAGACACACACACAUGCACCCACUUACACAGGGACACACACACAUGCACACACGUACAUGUCCACGAAUGUACCCAUGUACACACGUGCACACACACACACAAAGUACACACAGCCCUACACCCCUCCACACAUACACACAGACACACACACAUGCACCCGCUUACACAGGGACACACACACAUGCACACACAUACAUGCCCACGAAUGCACCCACGUACACACACACAUGCUCACGAAUGCUCACACGCGCACAGACACACCCCCACAUGCUCACGAAUACACAUGUACACACACGCACACACGCACAUGCUAACAAAUGCACAGAUGCACACACAGAUGCACACUCCCCCCGUACACACUGUGUAAAUGUAUGCACACACACGGACACAUGUGUGGACCCUAACGAGGGAGUCGCUGAGGUCGUGAUUGCACAGGGAGGGCCCCUGGGGCUUUUAGUCCACCCAGGGGGACACGUCAGCUCCCCAUUUCCCAUGCCCGCCCCAGGUUCAUCCACGCUGGACACCAUGCAUUUCCAAACACAACAGGACCAUCCCGCUCGAAGACCUUGUCCUUCAUCUGACCUUCACUCCCUCACCUGGCUGACGCCCUCGUUCUUGCUAAUGGGCUUGGAACAACUCCUCCAGCAACGUGACGGCAUUAGUCUCCUACAGCUGCUGUAA